Molecule: long non-coding RNA, 1586 nt
Organism: Musa acuminata AAA Group (dessert banana)
Lineage: Eukaryota; Viridiplantae; Streptophyta; Magnoliopsida; Zingiberales; Musaceae
Exons: 3
Source: RefSeq, a predicted model, not a curated record
CAUCUAGCACUUUCUUUUCUGAAUAAGUAGAUUAUUGCUAGCAUGAAAAUGAUGUGUGGUUUGAGUAGUGUGAUAAUAUAUUUGUCUGAUUUCCACUUUGCUGGUUUUCCAAUUCUACAUGAGAUUACCAGUUCAUAAUACCUGGUGGAGAUUUUUAUUUGAGACCCUACAUGUUUAAGACAUGGCAAAUUAUAUCUGAAUUAUGAGCUUUCGAGGCUGGUUAAUGCUGUGUAAAGUCGACGAUCGAUGAACCGAAGUUUUCAGGUAACUAAUUACUUGUCUUUUUGGUUGAUCACUUUGAUGCAAAUGUCAAGAGACCUAUUCUCAGCUGGAAAGGUCUUCUGACACUCGAGUACUAUGCAGAUUUCUUCUAAUUGCCUUCCUAAUCAUCUCCAGCAAAGGACAGUAGUUUUCAGAAAGAAAAGUAGCAGCAUUGUUCUUGGCUUUGCUAUGAUUUACCACUCACAGCAAAAAGCUAAUGUCAUUUUGCUUCCAUUCUUGAAAUGUGAUGUACAAAUGUUGCACUUGCAGUUUUCCAUCACAACCUUUUCCAAUAAACAAAUCUACUUCACCAGAAUUUAGUAGUUCUUAGCCUUCUUUCUUUCCUGUUUGGCUUCAGUAUCAGGCUGCUUGCUCACUCUGAUGUUAUAACCAUAAGAUUGAUCCAAAUAUGCCUACAAAGAUAUGUGUACAGGAUGUUCUUUUCGGCUGUAUCUUUGUUUGUCUGGAUGACAGGAAUGUUAGUAAACCAGAGUGUUCAUCCCAACACAGGAAACAGUAGGGAGGAGGUUUUGUCUUGUUCUUGGACACCAGCAUCUUGAAGACUCUUUUUGACUCCAUUUCCUGUCUUCCCAAAGGCACUGACACACCUCACUAUCCUCUUCUCUUGUUCUUGAAAGACCAGAUGGAACCUACAAGGUUGUCCAGGGCAGUAGCUCAACAUCCAUCAUUAGCAUUCUGAAGGUGAAUGAUAUAAGCUGUGCUUGUUUCCAUCUUGCCAUCAGAAUUCGAGUCUCAGGCUGAUGAGCAGAAAAAGUGAUCUGAUAUCAAUAGUCAAGGUUGAAUGAGUUUCAAAUUAAACUCUCACAAAUCUGACGUCCGAACGAGCUUAUAUCGAUCAGAUUUCAAGUAAACUGAUACAUUUCUGCAAUCCAUGAACAUUUGAAACAGUUGCAGGUCUUGAAAUGGUGAGGAUGCUUCAUCAAACUUGGAUCAAACCUGCUUAUUGAUGCUUCAUCAACUACGUGUUCAAAGGACACAUGAAAGGAUGCUGAAAAGGGUGGGAAGAAAGUUGAUGCAUUAUUUCUUCAGCAAAGAUGCAGCAGCAGCAGCAGCAGGAACGAUGAUUGGGUCUUCCACCAAUCUGUCAUGGAAUUUUUUGAGUACGGAGUAGACCAGGAGUUGACAUCUGCUACCCCAUCUCUGCACUCUCUUCUGUCUGUGUUGAAUAGGCUCAAGCACCAUAUGGUAGAAUUAGGCCUAAAAGACCAAAUCCUUUGUGCAAACAGAUUGAAAUCAAGUAGCCUUCUUCUUCUUUUUUGUCUCAGCCAAUAUAUCGAUUUCCAGUAAAGCAAAACUUUGGUAUA